This 301-nucleotide ribosomal RNA is filed under the name uncultured bacterium. RNAcentral describes it as "partial 16S ribosomal RNA". It matches the Rfam family "Bacterial small subunit ribosomal RNA", at positions 509 to 807 of the family's 1533-position model. The record is from RNAcentral.
CAGUCGCCACGGGAAUACGAAGGGUGCAAGCGUUACUCGGAAUUACUGGGCAUAAAGCGUGUGUAGGUGGUUGUUUAAGUCUGUCGUGAAAGCCCUGGGCUCAACCUGGGAACUGCGAUGGAUACUGGGCGACUAGAGUGCGGUAGAGGAUAGUGGAAUUUCCGGUGUAGCAGUGAAAUGCGUAGAGAUCGGAAGGAACAUCUGUGGCGAAGGCGACUAUCUGGGCCAACACUGACACUGAGACACGAAAGCGUGGGGAGCAAACAGGAUUAGAUACCCGCGUAGUCCCUGUCUCUUAUAC